GGAGCGCUCUCCCCCGCCUCGGGCGGUUGCGGGGCGCCGUCCGGCAGCGGCGCGAAGCCUCUCUCCCGCUUCCUCAGGGCGCUGGAAGCUCCCCGCGCCCCGCUGCCUCCUCGUCCUGCCUCUUCCCUGCUUCCCGGAGCGUUAACGGCCGUUGCCGCUGCGGGCCUUGCCUCCAGCCGGCCUGCUCGAAGGCCGCAAGCCACGGCGCUCGCCCUCAAGCCCUCCGAAUCUAGGUCACGGCAGCAGUCCGGGAGUCCUGACCGAGGACGAGCGCGGGCGGUGACUAACCCAAACAGGUGGUUCAGGUUCGGGAGGAAGGCGGCCGGCAUUACGUUUAGCGUUUCCGCCUCACCCUCCCCAACUCCCCCGGCCGGCCGCAGCCAGCCGGCGAAGCCCGUGCGCGGAUCUAAGGCGCGAACGAUGCUUCCAGAGGGGUCUGACAGCGGGCUCGCUGAGGGCGGCAGCCGGACUUGAACCUCGGGCUUCCCGGGAGAGCCGUCGGAGCUGCCUCACGGCCACCCCACCGCAGCAGCGGGGCACGGCCCUCCGUGCCCAACUCGCACCAGAUGGGGAAGCCAUAGGGAGUUUGUAUCAUGGCAGCUGAUGAGGAUGGACUGGGACUGUUUGAUAUCCGCUACGGUGUCGAAGCUUCCCCUUUCAAGGAAGGUGAUGAGAGCUCCGUGGAUAUUUACGAUGGCUUGGACAAUGGUUUGACAGUCCCUGGUAGGUUGAUUGUAUCUUGCUGCUUGGCUUGGAGCAUUAUAGAGUCUCUGUGCUUCUUAGGCUGGUUUCAAGUAAAACAACAGUUAGCUGUAAGUUUACAUGUAGCUGGUGAGCUGCUUGUUUAAAUUCAAAACAUAUGUGUUACACUGUAUAAAUACAGCAGAGAAUUCCUAAAUCCAUUAGCUGAAUGAUUAUA
This 919-nucleotide long non-coding RNA is filed under the name Accipiter nisus (Eurasian sparrowhawk). RNAcentral's name for it is "lncRNA (ENSANIG00000003910.1)". The record is from RNAcentral. Lineage: Eukaryota; Metazoa; Chordata; Aves; Accipitriformes; Accipitridae.